This 253-nucleotide ribosomal RNA is filed under the name uncultured bacterium. Its description in RNAcentral is "partial 16S ribosomal RNA". It matches the Rfam family "Bacterial small subunit ribosomal RNA", at positions 524 to 776 of the family's 1533-position model. The record is from RNAcentral.
UACGGGGGGGGUAAGCGUUGUUCGGAAUUACUGGGCGUAAAGGGCUCGUAGGCGGCCAACUAAGUCGGACGUGAAAUCCCUCAGCUUAACUGGGGAACUGCGUCCGAUACUGGAUGGCUUGGAUUUGGGAGGGGGAUGCGGAAUUCCAGGUGUAGCGGUGAAAUGCGUAGAUAUCAGGAGGAACACCGGUGGCGAAGGCGGUUCUCUGGGCAUGUCCUGACGCUGAGGAGCGAAAGUGUGGGGAGCGAACAGG